AUGAACGCUGGCGGCGUGCCUAAUACAUGCAAGUCGAGCGAACGGACGAGAAGCUUGCUUUUCUGAUGUUAGCGGCGGACGGGUGAGUAACACGUGGAUAACCUACCUAUAAGACUGGGAUAACUUCGGGAAACCGGAGCUAAUACCGGAUAAUAUUUUGAACCGCAUGGUUCAAAAGUGAAAGACGGUCUUGCUGUCACUUAUAGAUGGAUCCGCGCUGCAUUAGCUAGUUGGUAAGGUAACGGCUUGCCAAGGCAACGAUGCAUAGCCGACCUGAGAGGGUGAUCGGCCACACUGGAACUGAGACACGGUCCAGUCUCCUACGGGAGGCAGCAGUAGGGAAUCUUCCGCAAUGGGCGAAAGCCUGACGGAGCAACGCCGCGUGAGUGAUGAAGGUCUUCGGAUCGUAAAACUCUGUUAUUAGGGAAGAACAUAUGUGUAAGUAACUGUGCACAUCUUGACGGUACCUAAUCAGAAAGCCACGGCUAACUACGUG
RNAcentral lists this ribosomal RNA (496 nucleotides) under uncultured bacterium. RNAcentral's name for it is "partial 16S ribosomal RNA". It matches the Rfam family "Bacterial small subunit ribosomal RNA", at positions 29 to 507 of the family's 1533-position model. The record is from RNAcentral.